Molecule: long non-coding RNA, 423 nt
Organism: Cucurbita maxima (winter squash)
Lineage: Eukaryota; Viridiplantae; Streptophyta; Magnoliopsida; Cucurbitales; Cucurbitaceae
Exons: 2
Source: RefSeq, a predicted model, not a curated record
CUAAAACAAAUAAAGAAUAUCAUUUCGAGCAUACCAUUAAGCAUUGCACUGCAUGUGGGUCUGCAUGUUCCUAUGUUUCUCCUUUGCAAUUGUUUGGACAAACUGGGGUUUUACAGGUGGGCCCCCUGAUUGAGAAUUGACCAACCAUGCUUGCUAAUUGAGAAUCUUUCAGCUCUUCAAAGGCGUGGCCCUACAAAUUCACAGGUCUAACUCAUCCCUGUCUAACUGUUGGCUUCUAAAAAUUUAUGGCCCAAACAUAUCACGCAGAGAGAUUCGUGCUGUCUAGGCCAUUCACUCCUUGAGGAGAUGCCAUUAUUUAGGCCGUCAACGGUGGUUGUUCCAUCCAGUUCCUUCCUUUAUGGACAAUACUGAACAAGAACAACUCAGCCAAAUCUCUGGUGUUCACGCAUUUAGACAAGAAAA